This 199-nucleotide long non-coding RNA is filed under the name Brassica napus (rape). Its description in RNAcentral is "long non-coding RNA (BNAP_LNC027130)". The record is from RNAcentral. Lineage: Eukaryota; Viridiplantae; Streptophyta; Magnoliopsida; Brassicales; Brassicaceae.
GAUUAUUCAAGUAAGGCCGUGUGUUAUCUGAUCUUGGGCAAGGAUGGAUGACCUGAUCCAUAGGUGAUGGAUCAAGGUGUCUGAUCUGAUUGAUCAAAGGAUGCACCAGUUGUAAGAGCAAGAUUGAUCGGCUCCAUUGGGACAUGGUUCCAUGGCCGGUUAGGCAAGUGUGAAGACUCAUCAGUUCUGAGUCAUGUGG